RNAcentral lists this ribosomal RNA (166 nucleotides) under uncultured bacterium. RNAcentral's name for it is "partial 16S rRNA". It matches the Rfam family "Bacterial small subunit ribosomal RNA", at positions 355 to 511 of the family's 1533-position model. The record is from RNAcentral.
UAGGGAAUCUUCGGCAAUGGGGGGCAACCCUGACCGAGCAACGCCGCGUGAGUGAAGAAGGUUUUCGGAUCGUAAAGCUCUGUUGUAAGAGAAGAACGUGUGUGAGAGUGGAAAGUUCACACAGUGACGGUAACUUACCAGAAAGGGACGGCUAACUACGUGCUAG